RNAcentral lists this ribosomal RNA (253 nucleotides) under uncultured bacterium. RNAcentral describes it as "partial 16S ribosomal RNA". It matches the Rfam family "Bacterial small subunit ribosomal RNA", at positions 524 to 776 of the family's 1533-position model. The record is from RNAcentral.
UACGGAGGGUCCAAGCGUUAUCCGGAAUCAUUGGGUUUAAAGGGUCCGUAGGCGGUUUUGUAAGUCUGUGGUGAAAGCCCAUCGCUCAACGGUGGAACGGCCAUUGAUACUGCAAGACUUGAAUUAUUAGGAAGUAACUAGAAUAUGUAGUGUAGCGGUGAAAUGCUUAGAGAUUACAUGGAAUACCAAUUGCGAAGGCAGGUUACUGCUAAUGGAUUGACGCUGAUGGACGAAAGCGUGGGGAGCGAACAGG